CAACCGGAAACCGGUGCCAUCUUGGAGUUGGCUUCCCACACAGGGGACCCUCUGACUGAACCAUACAAAGCAAGAGAAAUUUAUUGUUCCAGCGCUCUGGGGUCGCCCUGCACCCAAAGGAGAGGCAGCGACUCCAGGCAGGCCUAUGUCACCUGCCUUGAAGAUUCUCUUCGGCCGGGGCUGGAGGACCUGAGUUUAAGUUCCCUGAAUUCAACUGAGAACACGGAUACAUCCUUCUGAUCACAUCCCAUUCGAUGGAAUAAGCUAGCAUAAUCUAUCCAUAGCUACAGACUUCAAAGACUACAAGGAUACAGGCGUUGUCAUCCUGCCUCCUCAGUCCAGCUAAUAUUUAAACUAGAAAAGAAGGAGUUGGUUCGUGUGAUUCUGAAGGAAUCUGUUCCAAGAUCUGCAGGGCAAGUUGGCUGAAAAGACGCCGGAGAGCCAAUGGUACCUUCCUGCUCUGAAGAAAGGCAUGCUCAAGGAGACACAGCCAAUGCUUUCGUCUGAAUCCAAAGGCAGGAGAAAGUUGAUAUCGUAGUACACGGAUGAUGUCAUGAGUCGUCUCACAUAGGGAGUCAGUCUCAACCAUUUUAUUCUCUCCAAAUAGUCAACAGAUUAGGCAAAUCCUACCCAUGCUAAUAAUAGCAUUAGUAAUCAUUAUAAGUCACCUACAAAAAGGGGGUUCUUCCUUAACUAGUAUGCAGAUUUGCAUAUGACUCUCAUGUUUAUAAAAACUAUUCUUGAGGAUACACCCCAAAUAAUGUUUGACCAAGUAGCUAAAUACAUGCACCCCAAGCAAGUGGGCACUAAUGAUCAGAUCUAGAAACCUAAGAUAAAAAAAAAAAUGGAAGUGUCAAAUAUUUUUCCAACACUAAGCAAGAGCAUGGAAGAGCAGAUUUUCUGACAUCUGUGGUUCAUAGAAGCCCUUGUAUGACCUUUAUAUUACUUUAUUCUCUCAGAUCAACAAAGUAAGACCAUUUGGUCAUGUUCUAUAGACAUGAAAAAAAAAAAAAAAAAAAACCAGCAACGGUCUCUUCAGACAGUCUUAAUAAUCACUGAAAC
This is a long non-coding RNA of Mus musculus (house mouse), 1062 nucleotides long. RefSeq annotates it as predicted gene, 34297. The record is from RefSeq and is a predicted model, not a curated record. NCBI's taxonomy places the organism in Eukaryota, Metazoa, Chordata, Mammalia, Rodentia, Muridae. The transcript is spliced from 4 exons.